This 253-nucleotide ribosomal RNA is filed under the name uncultured bacterium. Its description in RNAcentral is "partial 16S ribosomal RNA". It matches the Rfam family "Bacterial small subunit ribosomal RNA", at positions 524 to 776 of the family's 1533-position model. The record is from RNAcentral.
UACGGGGGGGGUAAGCGUUGUUCGGAAUUACUGGGCGUAAAGGGCUCGUAGGCGGCCAACUAAGUCGGACGUGAAAUCCCUCAGCUUAACUGGGGAACUGCGUCUGAUACUGGAUGGCUUGGAUUUGGGAGAGGGAUGCGGAAUUCCAGGUGUAGUGGUGAAAUGCGUAGAUAUCGGGAGGAACACCAGUGGCGAAGGCGACUACCUGGCCUGUUCUUGACGCUGAGGCGCGAAAGCUAGGGGAGCAAACGGG